UACAUGCAAGUCGAACGAACUCUGGUAUUGAUUGGUGCUUGCAUCAUGAUUUACAUUUGAGUGAGUGGCGAACUGGUGAGUAACACGUGGGAAACCUGCCCAGAAGCGGGGGAUAACACCUGGAAACAGAUGCUAAUACCGCAUAACAACUUGGACCGCAUGGUCCGAGUUUGAAAGAUGGCUUCGGCUAUCACUUUUGGAUGGUCCCGCGGCGUAUUAGCUAGAUGGUGGGGUAACGGCUCACCAUGGCAAUGAUACGUAGCCGACCUGAGAGGGUAAUCGGCCACAUUGGGACUGAGACACGGCCCAAACUCCUACGGGAGGCAGCAGUAGGGAAUCUUCCACAAUGGACGAAAGUCUGAUGGAGCAACGCCGCGUGAGUGAAGAAGGGUUUCGGCUCGUAAAACUCUGUUGUUAAAGAAGAACAUAUCUGAGAGUAACUGUUCAGGUAUUGACGGUAUUUAACCAGAAAGCCACGGCUAACUACGUGCCAGCAGCCGCGGUAAUACGUAGGUGGCAAGCGUUGUCCGGAUUUAUUGGGCGUAAAGCGAGCGCAGGCGGUUUUUUAAGUCUGAUGUGAAAGCCUUCGGCUCAACCGAAGAAGUGCAUCGGAAACUGGGAAACUUGAGUGCAGAAGAGGACAGUGGAACUCCAUGUGUAGCGGUGAAAUGCGUAGAUAUAUGGAAGAACACCAGUGGCGAAGGCGGCUGUCUGGUCUGUAACUGACGCUGAGGCUCGAAAGUAUGGGUAGCAAACAGGAUUAGAUACCCUGGUAGUCCAUACCGUAAACGAUGAAUGCUAAGUGUUGGAGGGUUUCCGCCCUUCAGUGCUGCAGCUAACGCAUUAAGCAUUCCGCCUGGGGAGUACGGCCGCAAGGCUGAAACUCAAAGGAAUUGACGGGGGCCCGCACAAGCGGUGGAGCAUGUGGUUUAAUUCGAAGCUACGCGAAGAACCUUACCAGGUCUUGACAUACUAUGCAAAUCUAAGAGAUUAGACGUUCCCUUCGGGGACAUGGAUACAGGUGGUGCAUGGUUGUCGUCAGCUCGUGUCGUGAGAUGUUGGGUUAAGUCCCGCAACGAGCGCAACCCUUAUUAUCAGUUGCCAGCAUUAAGUUGGGCACUCUGGUGAGACUGCCGGUGACAAACCGGAGGAAGGUGGGGAUGACGUCAAAUCAUCAUGCCCCUUAUGACCUGGGCUACACACGUGCUACAAUGGAUGGUACAACGAGUUGCGAACUCGCGAGAGUAAGCUAAUCUCUUAAAGCCAUUCUCAGUUCGGAUUGUAGGCUGCAACUCGCCUACAUGAAGUCGGAAUCGCUAGUAAUCGCGGAUCAGCAUGCCGCGGUGAAUACGUUCCCGGGCCUUGUACACACCGCCCGUCACACCAUGAGAGUUUGUAACACCCAAAGUCGGUGGGGUAACC
Molecule: ribosomal RNA, 1422 nt
Filed under: Lactiplantibacillus plantarum
Lineage: Bacteria; Bacillati; Bacillota; Bacilli; Lactobacillales; Lactobacillaceae
Description: bacterial SSU rRNA
Rfam family: Bacterial small subunit ribosomal RNA
Source: RNAcentral